GGCGGACGGGUUAGUAACGCGUGGGAACGUGCCCUUCUCUACGGAAUAGCCUCUGGAAACGGAGAGUAAUACCGUAUACGCCCUUUGGGGGAAAGAUUUAUCGGAGAAGGAUCGGCCCGCGUUAGAUUAGGUAGUUGGUGGGGUAACGGCCUACCAAGCCUACGAUCUAUAGCUGGUUUUAGAGGAUGAUCAGCAACACUGGGACUGAGACACGGCCCAGACUCCUACGGGAGGCAGCAGUGGGGAAUCUUAGACAAUGGGGGCAACCCUGAUCUAGCCAUGCCGCGUGAGUGAUGAAGGCCUUAGGGUCGUAAAGCUCUUUCGCCUGUGAUGAUAAUGACAGUAGCAGGUAAAGAAACCUCGGCUAACUCCGUGCCAGCAGCCGCGGUAAUACGGAGGGGGUUAGCGUUGUUCGGAAUUACUGGGCGUAAAGCGCGC
This 438-nucleotide ribosomal RNA is filed under the name uncultured Leisingera sp. RNAcentral's name for it is "bacterial SSU rRNA". It matches the Rfam family "Bacterial small subunit ribosomal RNA", at positions 97 to 570 of the family's 1533-position model. Lineage: Bacteria; Pseudomonadati; Pseudomonadota; Alphaproteobacteria; Rhodobacterales; Roseobacteraceae. The record is from RNAcentral.